Molecule: ribosomal RNA, 497 nt
Filed under: uncultured bacterium
Lineage: Bacteria
Description: partial 16S ribosomal RNA
Rfam family: Bacterial small subunit ribosomal RNA
Source: RNAcentral
GAUGAACGCUGGCGGCGUGCCUAAUACAUGCAAGUCGAGCGGACGGACGAUAAGCUUGCUUCUCUGAUGUUAGCGGCGGACGGGCGAGUAACACGUGGAUAACCUACCUAUAAGACUGGGAGAACUUCGUGAAACCGUAGCUAAUACUAGAGAAUAUUUUGAACCGCAUGGUUCAAAAGAGAAAGACGGUCUUGCUGUCACUUAUAGAUGGAUCCGCGCUGCAUUAGCUAGUUGGUAAGGUAACGGCUUACCAAGGCAACGAUGCAUAGCCGACCUGAGAGGGUGAUCGGCCACACUGGAACUGAGACACGGUCCAGACUCCUACGGGAGGCAGCAGUAGGGAAUAUUCCGCAAUGGGCGAAAGCCUGACGCAGCAACGCCGCGUGAGUGAUGAAGGUCUUCGGAUCGUAAAACUCUUUUAUUAGGGAAGAACAUCUGUGUAAGUAACUGUGGACAUCUUGACGGUACCUAAACAGAAAGCAACGGCUAACUACGUG